CAUCUCUUCAUCCACUUAACUUGCACAUCAUCAAGGAUUGGCAUUGAUAUCUUGAAGCUUCGGUGAGCUGUUUGUUUCUAAAAUGGGUUUAUUUUGCUUUUUACCAACCUAUGGUUAUUUUGGAGCAACUAUGUGAUGAUGUGAUUUAAUGAUCAUGCUUUUGGAUUUCCUAACUUUUUUAUGGGAGUGGAAUGUUUAGACUUUGAAUGAAAACUUUCUUAUGUAAUAUGCUUUUUAAGUAGUGUGCUAGUUGAAUGUUCUAAAAUAACUAUGUGGCUAUCUUUAAUCAGUGUUUUCAUAAGAUUUGUGGAUUCAUUUUCAAUUUGUUUAUUGGUCUCGGACCAACAUCAUAUAUGCUCUUAAGGUCAGUUUAUGUAUUUCGCGAAGACUCCCAAGACUUUUUUUACCCCUGCCUCUAAUACUGAAAUGCUCAAAUGCCAUUGAAUCUUAGUAGGCAUCAACCAGCAUCAUAUAUGCUCUUACUAAGAUGUUUAUGUAUUUAGAGACUCCCAUGCCAAUACAUUUUUUACCCCUGCCUCUAAUACUGAAAUGCCAUUAAAUCUUAGUAGGCAUCACUUAUAUUGUACCAUUGAUCAAUCUUUUAACCAUUGAUCAGUCAAGAAUCCCACUACAUUACUCUCUGAUCAAACUUUUAAGGUUUGAGAUCUGAGUGCGAGCCUGGAGCUUUAAUUUGAGUGAGGACUUUAUCAAAGACCUAGUAAGACCAAGACUUGAAAAGGUGGAAAAGAGUAUAGCUGUAAAUGAUAUAUAGAUAAAAUCCUUUCGGCAAAAGAAAAGAUACACAUACCUAAUCAUCUCUUGAAGAAAAAGAAGAGAACCACAAGAGCUGGUCGAAAUCUUUUGAAGAUCAAAAUCAGGUCUAUAAUUAGGUCUUUUACUUCAAUUAUAAAUAAGUGAUUUGCUGAAGAUCAAAGUCAGGUCUGUAAAUAGGUCUUUUAUCUCUUUUAGCAAUUUAAGUUCUCAUCAUUUUUCAGUACAUCUUCAAACUUUCAAAGUUAAUAUAAUGGCACCAACGCCCCACUUCAGUACCAUUAGUCUGAAGCUCCUCAACGAUGUAAAGCGUCCAAAGGUUCUCUUUGCUGAAGUGGGGAGGGAUUUUGUGGAUUUUCUUUUCACUCUUCUUUUUUUUGCCUAUGGGGACUGUCACAAGGCUCCUCUCCGAAUGGCAUGGUUGGUGCCUUUGGCAAACUGUGUGUCUGUAUGAGAGUGUUGAAAAUCUUAGUGACACCUCAAUGCAACCUGAUUCAGACAAGGACAUCCUGCUGAAACCUAAUUAAGACGCCAGUUGCUGGACCUAAUGUCAUUGGUUUGCUAAACAAUGUUGUCGAAUCGCCCUUCUAGGAAUUUCUACAUGUGUUCUCAUAAUUGUAGUACUACUGGUGGCUACUAUAUAUCCUGCCCCGGCUGCUUCUUCCCACCGUUAUGUGACUGAAGACCCUAAUGAGCUCUGUCCGUCCUGCAAUAGAACCAUGUCUUCUGAGGCGACUUAUGUUGGUCAACCAAAGGCGAUCACCGAAGCAACUUCCGGCGCCGGUGUUGCAGGAUAUGUCAAAGGCGUUGUUACGUACAUGAUAAUGGAUGAUUUGGAGGUAAAGCCUAUGUUGACCAUUUCAAGCAAAACCCUGCUCAACAGGUUCAAUGUCAAAGAUAUUAGUGCCCUUGAAGAGAAGGUUGUUGAACUUAGCAUGGAUGAGGCUUAAGGAACAGGACAUGGCUGCCAAAGACGCCUACCAAUAUUUUGUUCUCAAAGCACAAGAAAUAGCAAUUUCCGAAAAUUGGACCCCGGUCAACUGGAAUGUCUAAGAUUAUAUCAAAUUGUUAUCGUCAUUUUAAUUUACUGUUGGCCGUUUCCCUUUGCAUUGGUCUGCAUGGCAACUUGGCAAGUUCGCAGAUUGCUGUUUCCUUGUAUUCUCUAUGAUCUUGACAAGGUUAAAGUUAUGAAACAGCAGUUUCUAAAUAAAGGGCUUAACUGGUCAAAGUUUGUUUCAAUUGUCGAUUGUUUCUCAAUACUGUAAAAGUUAAUGUGACAGAUCGACCUAAGUUUUCUUACCUCAGGGAAGAAACCUUCAACACCUUCCCUACGAAGCUCAAUCCAAAGACUGUAGUGCAUAACUGGUUGGGCGGAGGGGUUUGUCCAAAGGCUGUUGAUAAAGGUUUCAGAUGCAUUUUCAGCAAUCAAGGUGUUUGGUAUCUUGACCAUCUAGAUGUCCCUUGGGAUGCUACAUAUAAUGCUGACCCGCUUGAAGGAAUAGAUGAUUCUUCCAAGCAAAAGCUUGUCCUUGGAGGAGAAGUAUAUAUGCAUGUGGGGUGAGACUGCUGAUGCAUCAAAUGUUCAGCAAACAAUAUGGCCUCGAGCUGCAGCAGCUGCAGAGCGCCUGUGGAGCAGAAAGGAGUCAACUUCUGGAAAAAGUAGUAAUGAAACUGCGCUACCUCGGCUACACUACUUCAGAUGCCUCUUGAAUAGGCGUGGAGUUCAAGCCGCUCCAGUUGAAAACUUCUACGCUCGAAGUGCUCCUCCUGGUGCUGGCUCAUGUUAUGCUCAAUAAUUUUUCCAUCCAUCAUAUAAUGUGAUUUCAUGUAUUCAGAAAUGAACAUUUAUCUAUUUCGAUUAAAUAUACAUGCCUUUUUAUGAUAGUUGUUAUUAGCUUACAAUAAAUGCAAGCAUUCCAGAAAUUCAGCAUUUCUCUUGUUUAAUAAAAAAGAGAUGGCAUGAUGUCAAAUUCUGCUCUACUUAUUUGACCAAUUUAUGAAAGAAAAAAGAUCCCCUCA
This is an RNA transcript of Rosa rugosa (rugosa rose), 2790 nucleotides long. RefSeq lists it as uncharacterized. Lineage: Eukaryota; Viridiplantae; Streptophyta; Magnoliopsida; Rosales; Rosaceae. The record is from RefSeq and is a predicted model, not a curated record. The transcript has 4 exons.